This 832-nucleotide ribosomal RNA is filed under the name uncultured bacterium. Its description in RNAcentral is "bacterial SSU rRNA". It matches the Rfam family "Bacterial small subunit ribosomal RNA", at positions 53 to 893 of the family's 1533-position model. The record is from RNAcentral.
ACAUGCAAGUCGAACGAACUUAACCAUUAGUUUACUAUUGGAGCGGUUAGUGGCGGACUGGUGAGUAACACGUAAGCAACCUGCCCAUCAGAGGGGAACAACAGUUAGAAAUGACUGCUAAUACCGCAUAUGCCUUAGAAUCACAUGGUUCAAAAGGGAAAGGAGCAAUCCGCUGAUAGAUGGGCUUGCGUCUGAUUAGCUAGUUGGUGGGGUAAUGGCCUACCAAGGCAACGAUCAGUAGCCGAACUGAGAGGUUGAACGGCCACAUUGGGACUGAGAUACGGCCCAGACUCCUACGGGAGGCAGCAGUCGGGAAUAUUGCGCAAUGGAGGAAACUCUGACGCAGUGACGCCGCGUGCAGGAAGAAGGUUUUCGGAUUGUAAACUGCUUUAGACAGGGAAGAACAAAGACAGUACCUGUAGAAUAAGCUCCGGCUAACUACGUGCCAGCAGCCGCGGUAAUACGUAGGGAGCGAGCGUUAUCCGGAUUUAUUGGGUGUAAAGGGUGCGUAGACGGGAAGUCAAGUUAGUUGUGAAAUCCCUCGGCUUAACUGAGGAACUGCAACUAAAACUGAUUUUCUUGAGUACUGGAGAGGAAAGUGGAAUUCCUAGUGUAGCGGUGAAAUGCGUAGAUAUUAGGAGGAACACCGGUGGCGAAGGCGACUUUCUGGACAGAAACUGACGUUGAGGCACGAAAGUGUGGGGAGCAAACAGGAUUAGAUACCCUGGUAGUCCACACCGUAAACGAUGGAUACUAGGUGUAGGGGAUAUUAAAAUUCUCUGUGCCGCCGCUAACGCAAUAAGUAUCCCACCUGGGGAGUACGGCCGCAAGG